Molecule: ribosomal RNA, 210 nt
Filed under: Thermococcus litoralis
Lineage: Archaea; Methanobacteriati; Methanobacteriota; Thermococci; Thermococcales; Thermococcaceae
Description: partial 16S ribosomal RNA
Rfam family: Archaeal small subunit ribosomal RNA
Source: RNAcentral
AAUAGCAAUUCCGGUUGAUCCUGCCGGAGGCCACUGCUAUCGGGGUCCGACUAAGCCAUGCGAGUCACGGGGGUGUCCCCUGGGACACCACCGGCGGACGGCUCAGUAACACGUCGGUAACCUACCCUCGGGAGGGGGAUAACCCCGGGAAACUGGGGCUAAUCCCCCAUAGGCCUGAGGUACUGGAAGGUCCUCAGGCCGAAAGGGGCU